This 100-nucleotide transfer RNA is filed under the name Streptomyces iranensis. RNAcentral describes it as "tRNA-Pro". Lineage: Bacteria; Bacillati; Actinomycetota; Actinomycetes; Kitasatosporales; Streptomycetaceae. The record is from RNAcentral.
GGGGGCGAGCGCCAGGCGCGGUCCGAACGGUGAUGCGCGUCGAGUUGGCACUUGACUGGGGGUCAAGGGGUCGCAGGUUCAAAUUCUGUCGUCCCGACCA